Spea bombifrons (plains spadefoot toad) is the source of this 134-nucleotide small nucleolar RNA. RefSeq annotates it as small nucleolar RNA SNORA70. The transcript has a single exon. Lineage: Eukaryota; Metazoa; Chordata; Amphibia; Anura; Pelobatidae. The record is from RefSeq and is a predicted model, not a curated record.
UCGCUGCCUAUUAAGCCGACCAGCGUUUGUUGAAAUCGAGCGAUGGUGUGCAAAGGCUGCGUACAUUAAGUUCCUUGGCUGUGUAUGUGCUCUGUUCACCAUAAAGAGCACUUAAAGGGGCCUUGGACACAGCC